This 485-nucleotide ribosomal RNA is filed under the name uncultured bacterium. RNAcentral's name for it is "partial 16S ribosomal RNA". It matches the Rfam family "Bacterial small subunit ribosomal RNA", at positions 30 to 507 of the family's 1533-position model. The record is from RNAcentral.
AUUGAACGCUGGCGGCAGGCUUAACACAUGCAAGUCGAGCGGGGGAAGGUAGCUUGCUACCGGACCUAGCGGCGGACGGGUGAGUAAUGCUUAGGAAUCUGCCUAUUAGUGGGGGACAACAUCUCGAAAGGGAUGCUAAUACCGCAUACGUCCUACGGGAGAAAGCAGGGGAUCUUCGGACCUUGCGCUAAUAGAUGAGCCUAAGUCGGAUUAGCUAGUUGGUGGGGUAAAGGCCUACCAAGGCGACGAUCUGUAGCGGGUCUGAGAGGAUGGUCCGCCACACUGGGACUGAGACACGGCCCAGACUCCCACGGGAGGCAGCCGUGGGGAAUAUUGGACCAUGGGGGGAACCCUGAUCCAGCCAUGCCGCGUGUGUGAAGAAGGCCUUAUGGUUGUAAAGCACUGUAAGCGAGGAGGAGGCUACUUUAGUUAAUACCUAGGGGUAGUGGACGUUACUCGCAGAAUAAGCACCGGCUAACUCUGUG